RNAcentral lists this transfer RNA (81 nucleotides) under Paragonimus heterotremus. It matches the Rfam family "tRNA". From Rfam's summary of the family: Transfer RNA (tRNA) molecules are approximately 80 nucleotides in length. Their secondary structure includes four short double-helical elements and three loops (D, anti-codon, and T loops). Further hydrogen bonds mediate the characteristic L-shaped molecular structure. tRNAs have two regions of fundamental functional importance: the anti-codon, which is responsible for specific mRNA codon recognition, and the 3' end, to which the tRNAs corresponding amino acid is attached (by aminoacyl-tRNA synthetases). tRNAs cope with the degeneracy of the genetic code in two manners: having more than one tRNA (with a specific anti-codon) for a particular amino acid; and 'wobble' base-pairing, i.e. permitting non-standard base-pairing at the 3rd anti-codon position. The record is from Rfam by way of RNAcentral. Lineage: Eukaryota; Metazoa; Platyhelminthes; Trematoda; Plagiorchiida; Troglotrematidae.
GGCUUCGUAGCUCAGCUGGCAGAGCUCUUGCCGUUUGGAGGCAUGGUGUUUCUGUCGUUGGUUCGAAUCCAACCGAAGCCC